This 238-nucleotide unclassified non-coding RNA is filed under the name Hevea brasiliensis (rubber tree). Lineage: Eukaryota; Viridiplantae; Streptophyta; Magnoliopsida; Malpighiales; Euphorbiaceae. The record is from RNAcentral.
GUUCAAACUGAUCAAUGCUAUUGGGCAUGAACUGAAAGAGGCUAAACUCUCACCUACCAGGCUGCCACUGAAUAACAACCAAGUUUGGAUCACUCUGAUUCCCGGGCAUUUAAAAAAGCUGGAGUUAUAAACCCAGGAAACGAAGGGGCGAAGACAGUAAAAGGCAAAGCGAGAAGGCAAGAAGCAAGGUAUGAUUCGGAAGUUUAUAAGUAAGCAUAAAGUAAGGUUUCAAUAGGAG